AUUGAACGCUGGCGGCAGGCCUAACACAUGCAAGUCGAGCGGAGCGGCGGACGGGUGAGUAAUGCCUAGGAAUCUGCCUGGUAGUGGGGGAUAACGUCCGGAAACGGGCGCUAAUACCGCAUACUAUCAGAUGAGCCUAGGUCGGAUUAGCUAGUUGGUGGGGUAAAGGCCUACCAAGGCGACGAUCCGUAACUGGUCUGAGAGGAUGAUCAGUCAAACGGGAACAGAGAUACGGUCCAGACUCCUCGGGGAGGCAGGAGUGGGGAAUAUUGGACAAUGGGCGAAAUCCUGAUCCAGCCAUGCCGGGUGUGGAAAGAAGGUCUGCGGAUUGUAAAGCACUUUAAGUUGGGAGGCGUGACCAACAGAAUAAGCACCGUCUAACUUCGUGCCAGCAGCCGCGGUAAUU
This 406-nucleotide ribosomal RNA is filed under the name uncultured bacterium. Its description in RNAcentral is "partial 16S ribosomal RNA". It matches the Rfam family "Bacterial small subunit ribosomal RNA", at positions 30 to 525 of the family's 1533-position model. The record is from RNAcentral.